CCUACGGGAGGCAGCAGUGAGGAAUAUUGGUCAAUGGACGCAAGUCUGAACCAGCCAAGUAGCGUGAAGGAUGACUGCCCUACGGGUUGUAAACUUCUUUUAUAUGGGAAUAAAGUGUUCCACGUGUGGGUUUUUGUAUGUACUAUAUGAAUAAGGAUCGGCUAACUCCGUGCCAGCAGCCGCGGUAAUACGGAGGAUCCGAGCGUUAUCCGGAUUUAUUGGGUUUAAAGGGAGCGUAGAUGGGUUGUUAAGUCAGUUGUGAAAGUUUGCGGCUCAACCGUAAAAUUGCAGUUGAUACUGGCAGUCUUGAGUACAGUAGAGGUAGGCGGAAUUCGUGGUGUAGCGGUGAAAUGCUUAGAUAGCACGAAGAACUCCGAUUGCGAAGGCAGCUCACUGAACUGCAACUGACACUGAGGCUCGAAAGUGUGGGUAUCAAACAGGAUUAGAUACCCGUGUAGUC
RNAcentral lists this ribosomal RNA (460 nucleotides) under uncultured bacterium. RNAcentral describes it as "partial 16S ribosomal RNA". It matches the Rfam family "Bacterial small subunit ribosomal RNA", at positions 338 to 795 of the family's 1533-position model. The record is from RNAcentral.